This 492-nucleotide ribosomal RNA is filed under the name uncultured bacterium. RNAcentral describes it as "partial 16S ribosomal RNA". It matches the Rfam family "Bacterial small subunit ribosomal RNA", at positions 28 to 507 of the family's 1533-position model. The record is from RNAcentral.
GGUGAACGCUGGCGGUUGGCCUAACACAUGCAAGUCGAACGGCAGCACAGUAGGAGCUUGCUCUUACGGGUGGCGAGUGGCGGACGGGUGAGGAAUACAUCGGAAUCUACUUUUUCGUGGGGGAUAACGUAGGGAAACUUACGCUAAUACCGCAUACGACCUACGGGUGAAAGCAGGGGAUCUUCGGACCUUGCGCGAUUGAAUGAGCCGAUGUCGGAUUAGCUAGUUGGCGGGGUAAAGGCCCACCAAGGCGACGAUCCGUAGCUGGUCUGAGAGGAUGAUCAGCCACACUGGAACUGAGACACGGUCCAGACUCCUACGGGAGGCAGCAGUGGGGAAUAUUGGACAAUGGGCGCAAGCCUGAUCCAGCCAUACCGCGUGGGUGAAGAAGGCCUUCGGGUUGUAAAGCCCUUUUGUUGGGAAAGAAAAGCAGCAGGUUAAUACCCCGCUGUUCUGACGGUACCCAAAGAAUAAGCACCGGCUAACUUCGUG